Molecule: Y RNA, 93 nt
Filed under: Prolemur simus (greater bamboo lemur)
Lineage: Eukaryota; Metazoa; Chordata; Mammalia; Primates; Lemuridae
Description: Y RNA (ENSPSMG00000003545.1)
Rfam family: Y RNA
About the family: Y RNAs are components of the Ro ribonucleoprotein particle (Ro RNP), in association with Ro60 and La proteins.
Source: Rfam by way of RNAcentral
GGUUGGUCUAAUGGUAGUGGGUUAUCAGAACUUAACAUUAGUGUCACUAAAGUUGGUAUUCAACCCCCCACUGCUAAAUUUGACUGGCUUUAA